Long non-coding RNA from Harpia harpyja (harpy eagle), 310 nucleotides. RefSeq lists it as uncharacterized. The transcript has 3 exons. The record is from RefSeq and is a predicted model, not a curated record. NCBI's taxonomy places the organism in Eukaryota, Metazoa, Chordata, Aves, Accipitriformes, Accipitridae.
UAGGAGUAAAACAUACUCUGCUCAUGAGGAAAGCAGCUAGCAUCUGGAAGGAAAUGUUUGUAUUGAUACAGUCCUCAUUUCCAAGGAGAGACUUCUUUUGUGAGAACUUUGAGGCCUCGAUCAAAGGCAGAGGCUUAUUUUUGAAGAAGAAAACAAAACCUUUUCCAGCUGUUUUUCUGAAAGUAUAAACUGUUCCAACGCAAAGAUGUCUUCAAGAACUACUAAUACAGGUUUGGUAAAAACACUUCAAGUCCAGGACAGAUGAGGUGAGAGAUUUGAGUACAACUUUUGAAAUAUGCUGGAAAAACAC